GCAUGGAUAUCCAUGGAUCUUCAUAGCUAUAUGGAUAAAAUCCAUAUCCAUGUCCAAUGUUAAAUACUGGAUAUGGAUAUGGAUAUAUCCAUUAUGGAUAAUUAUGGAUUUGUGUUUGGAUGGAUAUUAUCCAUCCAUAAUUGGAUAUUUGUCAUCCCUACAUGCUUGACACAUUCUUGUAGAAUUGCAAACUUCAAAGAAGAAAUUCACUCAAUACUACACUCAACACAAUUUCUUUUGUUGCUUAUAAAGAAGCUUGUUCUAGAUACAAUACAAGCUUACAAGGAAAGGUUUAUAUACAUCGCAAAUGCAAUAAUAAUCAUAUAAAGUGCUAAACACACUAAGCACAUUUAUUAAUCACAAAUUUCCUUAUCAUCACACACGUAGCCCAUUUUCUUGCUUAUUACUUACCAACUCCAUUCCAUUAUAAAAUUUUUAAACCAACAAUAGAAAGUUUCAUGGGCUAGAUCUUUUCAAUUGGGUUAGUGUCGUAUACUUCAAACACUCUCCUUCAACACCAGCUUCCAUCCCUUUCGCUAUAUUGAGCUGACGCCAAAAGUUUUCUAACUUUUCAGCAACCAAAUCGUUCGUGAAAAAAUCGCAAGAAUUUAAACAUUUUUUAUUAUUAAAAU
This 632-nucleotide long non-coding RNA is filed under the name Citrus x clementina. RNAcentral's name for it is "Citrus clementina (C. clementina) long non-coding RNA (CCLE_LNC000336)". Lineage: Eukaryota; Viridiplantae; Streptophyta; Magnoliopsida; Sapindales; Rutaceae. The record is from RNAcentral.